RNAcentral lists this ribosomal RNA (254 nucleotides) under uncultured bacterium. Its description in RNAcentral is "partial 16S ribosomal RNA". It matches the Rfam family "Bacterial small subunit ribosomal RNA", at positions 524 to 776 of the family's 1533-position model. The record is from RNAcentral.
UACAGAGGUCUCAAGCGUUGUUCGGAUUUACUGGGCGUAAAGGGCGCGUAGGCGGCCAGCACAAGUCAGUUGUGAAAUCUCCGAGCUUAACUCGGAAAGGUCAACUGAUACUGUGCGGCUAGAGUGCAGAAGGGGCAACUGGAAUUCUUGGUGUAGCGGUGAAAUGCGUAGAUAUCAAGAGGAACACCUGCGGCGAAGGCGGGUUGCUGGGCUGACACUGACGCUGAAGCGCGAAAGCUAGGGGAGCGAACGGG